GACGAACGCUGGCGGCGUGCCUAAUACAUGCAAGUAGAACGCUGAAGAGAGGAGCUUGCUCUUCUUGGAUGAGUUGCGAACGGGUGAGUAACGCGUAGGUAACCUGCCUUGUAGCGGGGGAUAACUAUUGGAAACGAUAGCUAAUACCGCAUAACAAUGGAUGCCACAUGUCUUUUAUUUGAAAGGGGCAAUUGCUCCACUACAAGAUGGACCUGCGUUGUAUUAGCUAGCAGGUGAGGUAAUGGCUCACCUAGGCGGCGAUACAUACCCGACCUGAGAGGGUGAUCGGCCACACUGGGACUGGGACACGGGCCAGACUCCUACGGGAGGCAGCAGUAGGGAAUCUUCGGCAAUGGGGGCAACCCUGACCGAGCAACGCCGCGUGAGUGAAGAAGGUUUUCGGAUCGGAAAGCUCUGUUGUAAGUCAAGAACGGGUGUGAGAGUGGAAAGUUCACACUGUGACGGUAGCUUACCAGAAAGGGACGGCUAACUACGUG
This 497-nucleotide ribosomal RNA is filed under the name uncultured bacterium. RNAcentral's name for it is "partial 16S ribosomal RNA". It matches the Rfam family "Bacterial small subunit ribosomal RNA", at positions 28 to 507 of the family's 1533-position model. The record is from RNAcentral.